UGGGGCCCUUUAUAACUUGCUGUUCGGUGUGAGUCAAUGCUCAGUAUUGAAGGCAGUACUUUGAUCUAUGAUUUUUAACUUUUUAAACAUUGUGACUUGGAUGGAUAGUUGUCUCAUUGGCGCUCAUACCACAUCUUCUUAAAAAAUAACAUCUUUUUGCAUACUUUCUUUUUUAAUUUCUUGUUUUUGAUGCAAUCCAAC
This 201-nucleotide long non-coding RNA is filed under the name Mytilus galloprovincialis (Mediterranean mussel). Lineage: Eukaryota; Metazoa; Mollusca; Bivalvia; Mytilida; Mytilidae. The record is from RNAcentral.